UGCCCUGUGGUGUAAUGGUAGCACAGCAGCCUCUGGAGCUGUUUGUCAUGGUUCGAGUCCAUGCGGGGCAG
This 71-nucleotide transfer RNA is filed under the name Omnitrophica bacterium RIFCSPHIGHO2_02_FULL_63_14. RNAcentral's name for it is "tRNA-Gln". It matches the Rfam family "tRNA". Rfam says of the family: Transfer RNA (tRNA) molecules are approximately 80 nucleotides in length. Their secondary structure includes four short double-helical elements and three loops (D, anti-codon, and T loops). Further hydrogen bonds mediate the characteristic L-shaped molecular structure. tRNAs have two regions of fundamental functional importance: the anti-codon, which is responsible for specific mRNA codon recognition, and the 3' end, to which the tRNAs corresponding amino acid is attached (by aminoacyl-tRNA synthetases). tRNAs cope with the degeneracy of the genetic code in two manners: having more than one tRNA (with a specific anti-codon) for a particular amino acid; and 'wobble' base-pairing, i.e. permitting non-standard base-pairing at the 3rd anti-codon position. The record is from RNAcentral. Lineage: Bacteria; Pseudomonadati; Candidatus Omnitrophota.